GUGGUUCUAAUUUCAUAGAAGAAACUAAAGCUCAGAGACGUGAGUCUCAGGAGAACAGGGCACAUGUAGCUAAGUCCUCGGUGAAGUACAAAUGUCUGCGACCUGUAACGAUAACGAAAGGCAGCUGAGGAGUGCUUCCUUUGAGCCACACAGCACUGGGUACCCGGAGCACAUCAGUUCACCCUGCCCCCACCGCCGAAGGUCCGCCCACCCUCUUUCCUAAGAGCACUGGAAACAGGCUGAAGAGAUGAGGUGGAAGAGGCCUGAGACCAGAGUCGCCCUCCUCCGUGCCCCAGCCCCAGCCCCAGCCUUAC
Molecule: long non-coding RNA, 314 nt
Organism: Mus caroli (Ryukyu mouse)
Lineage: Eukaryota; Metazoa; Chordata; Mammalia; Rodentia; Muridae
Source: RefSeq, a predicted model, not a curated record